CCCACAUCUCCCGGCCACACGCCCAGAGUUCUGUGCCCAUUCCGUUGCUGCAGGAGUCCAAGGUGCAGACAAGGCUGCCGACUGGCUCCGGGCUGAAGGGACCCUGGAGCCAGAUUUGUGUUUUUCCUGGAGGCAGGCAUCUCUCAGUACUUGUGGAAACUGUGCCCAGGGGACACCCUCUUCCCAUUUCAUGGAGGAAGACCCAGAGCCAGGCUGGGAGAGGAGAGAGGUCGAGCCCAGGUCCUCAGGCAUCCGACGCCAGGUUUGCUCUGGCCCGGCUAGCUGCCAGGCAGAAGCAAAGAUCACCCGUAGGAUCAAACAUUAACUUUCCGCCGGACCACC
This is a long non-coding RNA of Ochotona princeps (American pika), 342 nucleotides long. RefSeq lists it as uncharacterized. NCBI's taxonomy places the organism in Eukaryota, Metazoa, Chordata, Mammalia, Lagomorpha, Ochotonidae. The transcript is spliced from 2 exons. The record is from RefSeq and is a predicted model, not a curated record.